This 487-nucleotide ribosomal RNA is filed under the name uncultured bacterium. Its description in RNAcentral is "bacterial SSU rRNA". It matches the Rfam family "Bacterial small subunit ribosomal RNA", at positions 501 to 987 of the family's 1533-position model. The record is from RNAcentral.
CUACGUGCCAGCAGCCGCGGUAAUACGUAGGGUGCGAGCGUUAAUCGGAAUUACUGGGCGUAAAGCGAGCGCAGACGGUUACUUAAGCAGGAUGUGAAAUCCCCGGGCUCAACCUGGGAACUGCGUUCUGAACUGGGUGACUAGAAUGUGUCAGAGGGAGGUAGAAUUCCACGUGUAGCAGUGAAAUGCGUAGAGAUGUGGAGGAAUACCGAUGGCGAAGGCAGCCUCCUGGGAUAACACUGACGUUCAUGCUCGAAAGCGUGGGUAGCAAACAGGAUUAGAUGCCCUGGUAGUCCACGCCCUAAACGAUGUCAAUUAGCUGUUGGGCAACUUGAUUGCUUAGUAGCGUAGCUAACGCGUGAAAUUGACCGCCUGGGGAGUACGGUCGCAAGAUUAAAACUCAAAGGAAUUGACGGGGACCCGCACAAGCGGUGGAUGAUGUGGAUUAAUUCGAUGCAACGCGAAGAACCUUACCUGGUCUUGACAU